RNAcentral lists this ribosomal RNA (502 nucleotides) under uncultured bacterium. RNAcentral's name for it is "bacterial SSU rRNA". It matches the Rfam family "Bacterial small subunit ribosomal RNA", at positions 17 to 507 of the family's 1533-position model. The record is from RNAcentral.
UCAUGGCUCAGGAUGAACGCUAGCUACAGGCUUAACACAUGCAAGUCAGGGGAAACGAUAUUGGAAGCUUGCUUCCGAUAGGCGUCGACCGGCGCACGGGUGAGUAACGCGUAUCCAACCUGCCCAUCACUUGGGGAUAACCUUGCGAAAGUAAGACUAAUACCCAAUGACGUCUCUAGAAGACAUCUGAAGGAGAUUAAAGAUUUAUCGGUGAUGGAUGGGGAUGCGUCUGAUUAGCUUGUUGGCGGGGUAACGGCCCACCAAGGCGACGAUCAGUAGGGGUUCUGAGAGGAAGGUCCCCCACAUUGGAACUGAGACACGGUCCAAACUCCUACGGGAGGCAGCAGUGAGGAAUAUUGGUCAAUGGACGAGAGUCUGGACCAGCCAAGUAGCGUGCAGGAUGACGGCCCUAUGGGUUGUAAACUGCUUUUAUAAGGGAAUAAAGUGGGAGUCGUGACUCUUUUUGCAUGUACCUUAUGAAUAAGGACCGGCUAAUUCCGUG